UACGAAGGGGGCUAGCGUUGUUCGGAUUCAUUGGGCGUAAAGGGUGCGUAGGCGGCGCGGUAAGUCGGGUGUGAAAUCUCGGAGCUUAACUCCGAAACUGCAUUCGAUACUGCCGUGCUUGAGGACUGGAGAGGAGACUGGAAUUUACGGUGUAGCGGUGAAAUGCGUAGAUAUCGUAAGGAAGACCAGUGGCGAAGGCGGGUCUCUGGACAGUUCCUGACGCUGAGGCACGAAGGUCAGGGGAGCAAACGGG
This 253-nucleotide ribosomal RNA is filed under the name uncultured bacterium. RNAcentral describes it as "partial 16S ribosomal RNA". It matches the Rfam family "Bacterial small subunit ribosomal RNA", at positions 524 to 776 of the family's 1533-position model. The record is from RNAcentral.